GUGCUCUUGUCUUCAGUGGCAUUUACAGAUCCUCUCUGACUCUACCUCUUCCACGUGAAGAUUUUCAGCAGCUGACACACUCUACUUACAAGCACCUCGCGACCUGACCUCCUUUGAGGUCAAUAAGCAUUUCUGUGGUACAGAGCAGAAGCAGAACUGCCCCCCUGCAGUUUGUGAUGAGGUUCAAGUCUCUUACAUUAACACCUGAUUCCAGCUGCAGAGGAUUUACAAAUGCAAAAUCUCCCAGAAUACCUACAUCCAUCACCAGCCUGACUGAAAAACGGAGAUGGAUUUCAGCUGUGUCCCACUUUGCACUACACGAGCUGACUUUGUGCAAUAAUGAAGGAGACCGGAUCAAAGGCAAAAGCCCUGCUGGAAAUCUUGUGGGCUGUCACCCUGCCUUUGGUGGCAGGUUAGUGAAAGGCUUUACUUCAACUGGUGUGAUACUGCUUUGGGGCUGUUCCAGGAGUCUGCAUAUUUCAAAGCUAUUUUGGUGCUACAUUCCCUACUCCACACCGGUCCCUGCCCGACACAGCUUGCUGCGCUCUCUUCCAGCAUCAACCUCCCACAGUGUGUGAGCAGGCCUGCCUCUGUCACUGUUUCACGUGCGCAUUACCAUGAGCACACACUUGAGGGCCGCAGAUCUUAAGUUUAGCAGUUCUUGCCUUCAUUAGAUUUAGUCACUGGGAGAGGGAGGGGGAGUGCUUUCUGUCCCUCUUGUGUCAUUAAUUUUCAAACACAAGGCAGGGUGAUCAAUAAUCUAUUCUGCCGGCAGUUUUACUGAGUUUAUUCCUGUUUCGGGUAUUAGUUUUCCU
This 815-nucleotide long non-coding RNA is filed under the name Anas platyrhynchos platyrhynchos (common mallard). RNAcentral's name for it is "lncRNA (ENSAPLG00000025308.1)". Lineage: Eukaryota; Metazoa; Chordata; Aves; Anseriformes; Anatidae. The record is from RNAcentral.